CGCAACUCCACAUAUCUGCGCACGCGCACUGAAUCAAGCGUUCAUGUGCAGCGCAGUCCGGACGCGCUUUGAAAAAAACAACAAAACUUCACGGAAUGAAAUGAAUCUGGAGUGGAGGACAUGGAUAUUUGAAAGCGACAGGAAACGAGAAACAGUUCCUGAAGAUCGCGGCCGGAGUGGCGUUUAAAUGCAUUAUUGUCCGAUAGUGAAAUAACUGCGCGCGCCAGCUGCAUUUCUAUCACUGGAUUUGACGUGUUCCCACAACAACGCGCAGCACAUGACAGGAAUGAGGAGAGACAGCGAUCGAGCCAGUAAAGCCACCUGGGUCCUCCACCUAUUCUGCAUCUCUCUCCUGACUUCAUUCGUGAAAGCAGAAGAUGGGUCCUGUCACGGAGCCUUUGAUUUAUACUUUGUUUUGGAUCGGUCAGGCAGUGUUUCUGACAACUGGAUGGAGAUCUUUGGAUUUGUGGAACAACUGACGAAUCGUUUCGUAAGCCCGAAAAUGAGAGUAUCCUUUAUAGUCUUUUCUUCUAGUGCAGAAGUAGUCUUGCCUCUCACUGGAGACCGGGCAGCUAUUGAUAAUGGUCUGCAAAGUUUGAGCGAGAUCAGACCUGCUGGUGAAACCUACAUGCACGAGGGGUUAAGAAAGGUAAUAGAACAAAUGACUACCCAUGGCACAAAAGCAUCCAGCAUCAUUAUUGCACUGACUGAUGGGAAGCUGGAGGUCUAUCCCCAUGAUCUUGCUGUGAUCGAGGCUGAUCAGGCGAGAAAAUAUGGUGCUCGGGUUUACUGUGUUGGCGUGAAGGACUUUGAUGCAAACCAGCUUGCAGAUAUUGCAGACAGCAAAGAUCAAGUGUUUCCUGUUGUGGAUGGAUUUCAGGCCCUCAAAAACAUUGUCAAUUCGAUUUUAAAGAAAUCCUGUGUAGAGAUUUUUAACCUUGAGCCCUCCAGCAUUUGCGUGAAUGAGACUUUCAACAUUGUUUUGCGAGGGAGGGGAUUCACGCAGGGAAGAACUUCAGAAGGUGUGGUCUGCACAUUAUCUGUCAAUCAACAGGAUCCUUACAAUGAGAAGCCGAGUGCAGUGAAGGAUAAUUACGUUCUGUGUCCAGCUCCAGUGUUGACCGAGGUUGGACACUCCCUCGAUGUGCUCAUUAGUCUGAAUAACGGCCAGUCUUUCAUUUCAAGUCCAAUCACAAUAUAUGCCACAACAUGUUCUGAUGGGAUAGUGAUAGUGAUUGUCAUCCUGGUGCUGCUGGUGUUGUUGGGUUUAAUUGUGCUCUGGUGGUUCUGGCCGCUCUGCUGCAUGGUGGUUAUCAGAGAUCCACCCCCAUCUCGCCCUCCGCCUCCAUGCCCAAUACCUGAACCUGAGGAGGACCUUCUGCCGAAGAAGAAGUGGCCUACAGUGGAUGCGUCUUAUUAUGGUGGCAGAGGGCCUGGUGGCAUCACACGGAUGGAGGUUCGCUGGGGUGAGAAGGGCUCUACAGAGGAAGGGACGCGGUUAGCGAAAGCCAAAAAUGCUGUGGUCAAAAUGCCAGAGGAGGAGUUUGAAGAGCCUGUAAAAAGACCCCCACCCAGACCACCACCAGUAUGUCAGGCCCCAGUCCCAGACAAAUGGUACACACCCAUUAAAGGGCGUUUUGAUGCUGUGUUAGCGUUGCUGCGAAGACAAUACGACAGAGUUGCUAUCAUGAGACCCACAGCAAAUGACAAGCGGUUUCCCUCUUGUAUCAUCCUCCAGGUUUCCCUUAUGGUGUGUGCAUACCGAAAGUGAAUCUAAUUAUUUGCGCUAGUAGAUUGUGUGCACGGUCAAUGCAAAGACGCAAAUAGAUGCGAAUUCGCGCCGGCGAAGCAAAUGACAAAAAUUGGGUGACUUCAGUUGGCCUCAAUCGCGUUUUCCACCCAGGUUGAAAAAUGUCAACUCGAGCGGAAACUUCGCAUGACAUGUUGUCUAGAGUGACAAUGUGAAUCUAUAGCGACAUCGUGAUACUUCCUUAAAUAUAUAGAUAUAUAGAUUAUCUAUUUAUAGAUAUAAAGAAAUGUAUAUAUUUCGAUAAAAUGGAAGACAUAGAUUGUACUGCAUGUUAGCUUUCUUAUCUUGCCCAAAAGCAUCAUUUAUUUAACUCCAAUUGUCUUGCUAACAAGAAACCAUGCUUCUAACCACAAGUCAGAGGCUGUAGAUUGUUUAGAAUGUUUGUUUAGAAUGUUCAUUUAAACUAUGGUUUCAGGAAACACCAACAGAACGGAAAUUGCUACCAUAGUUGGCUAAUGCUUUUAGGAAGUGGAGCCCUAGGCAGGAGCCUAUGAUGCCUUAAAACGCUGCUUAUGUAAAAUCUCUCUAGGCUGUAGAACAGAGGCAUUGUGUUCCUCAUUCAACCGCUUAGUUCAGUCCCUCAUUUGGUCCGCUGACAAGGCUCAUUAGCACUAAUAAGCUGCACAAACGAGGCUGACAGUCCUGUCACAGACAGACCAGAUCACACUCUUGCUACGGUAGUACGUCUGUACGACCUGACCCUCAAACACACACUCAUCAGAGAGCAGUCGUCACUAUUAUACUCAUUAGAUUGACCUGACUGUCAGAGUUCAAGUUGUCAGGAUGUGACACUCAGUGUCUGACACUUCACUGCCGAGAGUGACCUCUGACCUCACGCUGAUUGCACUGUCACACUUAGUUUGAGUUUAACUGAACGUCCUUCUAGGGCACAACGAGAAUAUUGUUGAAGUGUUUGUCUAUGGGCAGCAGUCAAUCAUUGCACAAAUAGUUCAUUAAUUCUUUAACUAAAUUGUUCAUACCAAGUUUGACUACUAAAAUGCCUGCAUUUGUUGUUUUUCUUAAAAUAGAUAAGAAAAAGAUAAAAGUAAAAAGUAAAAUCCUUUUUCUUAUAUUAUUCAGUUUACUUGUCUUUAGAAGUUCUAUGUGUUUAAAGCCUUUUCAUACCAAGUAUGAUGUGUAUGCAUGAUGCAAUUUAAUGUUUAAUUUAAAUGUGCCCUCAGAUCAAUAAACAUCCACCAGGCAACCAACUCCAAAGCAAUGCCAUUGCAAUGUUCUAGCAGGAUUUUCAAAGACAGACACUCCUCAUUUUCUUGUUAUACAAGGUUUUUUUUUCACACCAGAGAUUCAGACCUGCUGUAAAAUAGAGCUUAAUUAUUAACACUGGUACCUGUUCUCCAUUCAUGUUACCAGAUCUGUCCAAACAGGGUUUGUCAUGCAUUAGUGUUGCUUGAUCAGCCUGCCUGACCUCCAUCAUUCCUGCUUCCUUACCGCCAAUUAAAAUCAAACCUCCUCUCAAUUGAACUCAAUUACUCCAAAUUAUCGUACAUGUCAGCUUGACAAAAAAUAUUGUCAAAAUAAUUAUUUUUUACCAUAUGAGAUGCAUUAAAAAAAUCCAAUGUGGAUGAUUCAGCUCGAGUACUGAGUUAAUGUGAUGUGGACUAGUCAGUGAAUGGUGGGUAAAAGACCUUUCACCAGUCUCAAAAUGAGGGCAUAGCCAGUAACAUGAGGCAGAGAUGUUAGGGGAUUCCACUUGUCAUAUUUCACAUUUAUAAGAGAUAAUGGGGUAAAGAGAUGAGUGUGGUUGUAAGAGGGGGUGGUGGGACAGUCGGUCCUCCAUUAUGGAUCUGUAAUGUAGAGUAGCAUUCUGCUUUUGUUUUUUGUCUUUCAGGGACGCUGCAUCAAAUUCAACCGAGUUCAGCAUCACUGACCGAAUUCAAUGUGUCUUUUACUUUAAAGUACGUUCAGACAAAAAGGACUGGAGGAUCCACUGCUGUACGGACACGGUGUGAAAAGCUGCACUUCUGAAUUAAAACCUUUGCAUUUUAAUGUGUAAAUCUAUCCUGCUGAUUUUGUUUCUGCAUGUCUUUGAAUAUGGUUGAAUUCACUGCUUUUAUAACAAUCAGUCUGUUUAAGGUUUUCUAGUUACAAACCAACACAGUGCCUUCUUGUGAGUGUAUUAUGAAUGGAUUUGUCAAGGAAAGAAAAUGUAAAUUAUUAUUUUUAUUUACAUAGUUAUUUCUUUCAUUAUUAUUAGUAAAGAUGAGUAUCCAGUAAAUUCA
Carassius auratus (goldfish) is the source of this 4050-nucleotide RNA transcript. It is a transcript of the gene named anthrax toxin receptor 2-like, with no coding region annotated. The record is from RefSeq and is a predicted model, not a curated record. NCBI's taxonomy places the organism in Eukaryota, Metazoa, Chordata, Actinopteri, Cypriniformes, Cyprinidae. The transcript is spliced from 18 exons.